RNAcentral lists this ribosomal RNA (500 nucleotides) under uncultured bacterium. RNAcentral describes it as "bacterial SSU rRNA". It matches the Rfam family "Bacterial small subunit ribosomal RNA", at positions 30 to 512 of the family's 1533-position model. The record is from RNAcentral.
AUUGAACGCUGGCGGCGUGCUUAACACAUGCAAGUCGAGCGGUAACAGGUGUAGCAAUACAUGCUGACGAGCGGCGAACGGGUGAGUAAUGCUUCGGAAUCUUCCUCGUAGUGGGGAACAACCUGGGGAAACUCAGGCUAAUACCGCAUACGAACUACGGUUGAAAGCAGGGGAUCGCAAGACCUUGCGCUAUGAGAUGAGCCGAAGUCGGAUUAGCUAGUUGGUGAGGUAAAGGCUCACCAAGGCGACGAUCCGUAGCUGGCCUGAGAGGACGACCAGCCACACUGGGACUGAGACACGGCCCAGACUCCUACGGGAGGCAGCAGUGGGGAAUAUUGGACAAUGGGCGCAAGCCUGAUCCAGCGACGCCGCGUGUGUGAAGAAGGCCUGCGGGUUGUAAAGCACUUUUAGUUGGGGAGUGAAAGACCAAGGGCGUAAUAACCCUUUCGGUCUUGACCUAACCCAAACGAAAAAGACACCGGCGUAACUACUGUGCCACG